This 2254-nucleotide ribosomal RNA is filed under the name Micromonas pusilla CCMP1545. RNAcentral describes it as "large subunit ribosomal RNA". It matches the Rfam family "Bacterial large subunit ribosomal RNA", at positions 195 to 2652 of the family's 2925-position model. The record is from RNAcentral. Lineage: Eukaryota; Viridiplantae; Chlorophyta; Mamiellophyceae; Mamiellales; Mamiellaceae.
GAAACAUCUAAGUACCUGUAGGAAAGGAAAUCAACCGAGAGGCCGGUAGUAUCGGCGAGAGAACCCGGCGUUGGCUUGAGACAUGGUUCUGUGUUGAAGGUGGGGGAAACCACAACCAGAGAAGGUUUGAGUCCUGUAGAAUGCAAGAACCAUGUUGAACAAGUACCACCAUCUGGUGGGAAGAUAGGAGAACCACCUUCUAAGCCACACCUACGAUUUUGAAAACCAUAGUGCACAAGUACUGUGAAGGAAAGGUGAAAAGAACCCUAAUGCGGGGAGUGAAAAGAACUGAACCAAGACACCGACAAACAAUCGAUGGCGGUUCCUUAUCACGGGAAUGCGCUACCGGUGUACCUUUUGCAUAAUGGGUCAGCGACUAAAUGACGUAUGCCUGCGUAAGCCAAGAGGUGGACGCAAAGCAAAAGCAAGUGGGCACGCCGCGAACGGUCUGCGUCAUUUGACCCGAAACUGAGUGAUCUCAUUUCCAGCAGGUUGCAGAAAGCGUACCUGCUUUUGAAGGACCGAACCGACGUCUGUAGCAAUAGGCGCGGAUGACUGGAGAUGAGGGGUGAAAGGCCAAUCAAACUCAGAGAUAGCUGGUUCUUCGCGAAAUCUAUUGAGGUAGAGCGUACACGAUGGUCUUUGACUAUGGAUGCUGGGGGUAGAGCACUUCUUGAGCUAUGGGGGCCCAAAGCCUUACUGCUCUCAUGAAAACUCCGAAUACCAGAUCAUCUUUACGUGUGCAGACAGAGGUAGAGUGCUAAGGUUCUGCCUCGAAAGGGAAACAGCCCAACCCGUGUGGUAAGGUCCCCAAACCCUAUGUGAGUGGGAAAAGCUACCUUCCGACGAUGACAACGAGCAGGUUGGCUUGGAAGCAGCCAUCCUUUAAAGAAAGCGUAAGAGCUCACUCGUCGAGUUGGAUGUAGUUGAUGAUGUAUCGGGGCUGAACAUAGGUACCGACCCAACGGAUGGAUACAGGUUCAAUACAGCCUGUGUCUAUGGUAGCGAAGCGUUUUGAGUACUGCUGAAGUGAGGGCGGAAGCUUUCAUGUAGGGUUCAAAAGUGACUAUGCUGGCAUGAGUAACGAAAGAUCAUGUAGAUAAGGCAUGACCGCCGUACGUUCAAGGUUUUCUUGCGUUCUGGUAACCAGCGCAGAGUUAUUCGGCCCCUAAGGGCAAAGGCCACCGCCUUUCCUGAUGGAGAUCUGUACGUUGUCCCGCAUCUGGUGUACGACCCACGGCACUUUGGAUAGCUAUGGCGUGCGCAGGUGUGCAGGAAAAGCCGUACAGGAGGCUCACAAGGCCUCGAAGACCGUACCCUAAACCGACACAGGUGAACGAGUCGACUAGACUUAGGCGUUGAGGAAACUACAUUGAAGGAACUCGGCAAAUUCUUCCCGUACCUUCGGAACAAGGGAAAGCCAUUGGCAUACAUCAAAAGGGGGGUGACGACUUUUUACUAAAAAAUUAGGACUCUGCAAACUUGUAAAAGGACGUAUAGGGUCUGACGUCUGCCCGGUGCUAGAAGUAUAAAAGGCGCAGUGCAAGCUGCAAAUGGAAAGCCUAGUAAACGGCGGUUGUAACUAUAACAAUCAUAAAGUAGCGAAAUUCAUUGCCAGCUCAUUCCUGGCCUGCAUGAAAGACGUAACGAUUGCCCCACUGUCUCCAGUGUAGACUCAGUGAAAUUGAAUUCUCCGUGCAGAUGCGGAGUACGUGCCCCAAGACGAGAAGACCCUGUGCAUCUUUACUGUACAUCUGCAGUGCCCACACUCUGUCCCUGUGUAGGAAAGGUGGAAGCGUAUGCGUCCGUGAAAUACCACCCUUGGCGGUGGUGUGGGCUACCCUCUUCAGAGGAACCCUGCAUGUGAGGCAGUUUGACUGGGGCGGUCGCCUCCUAAAGGGUAUCGGAGGCGUGCGAAGGUAAGGGCUUCAAGGACGGAAACCUUGAAUAGCGGGGAAUGCCUACCUUGCCUGACUGCAAGACAUACAGGUCGCGCAGAGACGAAAGUCGGCCAUACUGAUCCACAAGUGCCGUGUGGAAGGGCUUGUGCUUAACGAAUCAAAGAUACGCCAGGGAUAACAGGCUGAUACUGCCCUAGAGUCCUUAUCGACGGCAGUGUUUGGCACCUCGAUGUUGACUGAUCAUAUCCUGGGGCUGAAGAAGGUCCCAAGGGUACGGCUGUUCGCCGUCUAAGAUGGUACCUGAGUUGAGUUUAGAACGUCGUGAGACAGUUUGGAUUCUACCUGGGGUGCGC